GGAGCACUGCAACGGGAGGAGCGUGCGGUUUAAUUGGAUUCAACGCCGGAAAACUCACCGGGAGCGACUGUUACAUGAAGGCCAGUUCGAAGACAUUGCCUGAUUUUCAGAGAGGUGGUGCAUGGCCGUCGUCAGUUCGUACCGCAAGGCGUUCUGUUAAGUCAGAUAACGAACGAGACCCCUGUCCUUAUUUGCUAAAUUGCCCUUCGGGGUGACAGCACUACAAGGAGACCGCCACUGCUAAAGUGGAGGAAGGAGGGGGCAACGGUAGGUCAGUAUGCCCCGAAUCUCCCGGGCUACACGCGCGCUACAAAGGAUGGGACAAUGGGCUCCGACACCGAAAGGUGAUGGCAAUCCCGAAACCCAUUCAUAGUUCGGAUUGAGGACUGUAAUCCGUCCUCAUGAAGCUGGAUUCCGUAGUAAUCGCGGGUCAACAUCUCGGUG
RNAcentral lists this ribosomal RNA (444 nucleotides) under uncultured archaeon. RNAcentral describes it as "bacterial SSU rRNA". It matches the Rfam family "Archaeal small subunit ribosomal RNA", at positions 873 to 1320 of the family's 1478-position model. The record is from RNAcentral.